This 107-nucleotide small nucleolar RNA is filed under the name Gossypium barbadense (sea-island cotton). RNAcentral's name for it is "Plant small nucleolar RNA R71". It matches the Rfam family "Plant small nucleolar RNA R71". From Rfam's summary of the family: R71 is a member of the C/D box family of snoRNAs containing the C (UGAUGA) and D (CUGA) box motifs. Multiple nearly identical copies of this snoRNA have been identified in Arabidopsis, and it is thought to function as a 2'-O-ribose methylation guide for 18S ribosomal RNA. The record is from Rfam by way of RNAcentral. Lineage: Eukaryota; Viridiplantae; Streptophyta; Magnoliopsida; Malvales; Malvaceae. RNAcentral also lists the same sequence under 1 other name.
AACCCGUGGUGAGGGCACCUUCUCAAUAAAUCCUUAUACCUCUCUCAGGCAUCAUAUAGGGUUUCUAAUUCCAUCUGUACGAAGAAAGAGAUAUCAUUCCUCAACUU